GGGGCCAUAGUCUAGCCAGGUCUCGUGUUGCCAACUGGUGACACGGGUGGCAUAUUGGGCGCCUGCCUCCGGAGCAGGAGUUCGUGCGUUCGAAUCGCACUGGCCCCGCCA
Molecule: transfer RNA, 111 nt
Filed under: Candidatus Thorarchaeota archaeon
Lineage: Archaea; Promethearchaeati; Candidatus Thorarchaeota
Description: tRNA-Arg
Rfam family: tRNA (bases 46-108)
About the family: Transfer RNA (tRNA) molecules are approximately 80 nucleotides in length. Their secondary structure includes four short double-helical elements and three loops (D, anti-codon, and T loops).
Source: RNAcentral